UGGGAAUUUGGACAAUGGGCGAAAGCCUGAUCCAGCAAUGCCGCGUGUGUGAAGAAGGCCUUCGGGUUGUAAAGCACUUUUGUCCGGAAAGAAAUCCUUGGCUCUAAUACAGUCGGGGGAUGACGGUACCGGAAGAAUAAGCACCGGCUAACUACGUGCCAGCAGCCGCGGUAAUACGUAGGGUGCAAGCGUUAAUCGGAAUUACUGGGCGUAAAGCGUGCGCAGGCGGUUUGCUAAGACCGAUGUGAAAUCCCCGGGCUCAACCUGGGAACUGCAUUGGUGACUGGCAGGCUAGAGUAUGGCAGAGGAGGGUAGAAUUCCACGUGUAGCAGUGAAAUGCGUAGAGAUGUGGAGGAAUACCGAUGGCGAAGGCAGCCCCCUGGGCCAAUACUGACGCUCAUGCACGAAAGCGUGGGGAGCAAACAGGAUUAGAUACCCUGGUAGUCCACGCCCUAAACGAUGUCAACUAGUUGUUGGGGAUUCAUUUUCCUUAGUAACGUAGCUAAUGCGUGAAGUUGACCGCCUGGGGAGUACGGUCGCAAGAUUAAAACUCAAAUGAAUUGACGGGGUCAUAGCUGUUUCCU
This 584-nucleotide ribosomal RNA is filed under the name uncultured bacterium. Its description in RNAcentral is "partial 16S ribosomal RNA". It matches the Rfam family "Bacterial small subunit ribosomal RNA", at positions 357 to 1375 of the family's 1533-position model. The record is from RNAcentral.